GCUCAAUUGUAUGAGAGAUAGGAACUUGAACCAUCUCAUGAUUUUCAUUGCAGCAUUCAUGAUCUAUGCGAGCCUAAUAACUGGGGAUCCUCUAUUUCUUAUUUUCCGUUUUGUGCCCCCAAUUUUGGUAUUUGUUUGCUUGUGAGAUCAUUAUGCAUUGGCGUGUAGCCCUUUAGAUCCCACCCUUAUAGCCACUGGAGAUGGAGAUGAUAAAGCCUUUCUAUCGAAACGGAGACUGGGCUGCUGAGCUUCUAGGUCACGAAGACUCUGUUUCUUCUCUAGCUUUUAGCUACGACGGACAGUUAGUUGCCUCUGGAGGGUUGGAUGGUGGUGUUGUUUGUUCAGAUCCUCGAUGCAUCUUCAGGGACUUCGAAAUGUGUUUUGGACGGUCCUGGUGCUGGCAUUGAGGUAUACAAACCCUUGCAACAACAAGAACAGCGUCAUAAGAGUUGAUUUGGGGAAUGCAGAGUUGUCUGGCCAUUUAGUUCCAGAGCUUGGUGUGCUCAAGAAUUGCAGUACCUGUCUUCCUGAGUUGAGAUCUAUCUAAUAACCAACUCUCUGGUUCAGUUCCUGACAAUGGCUCUUUCUCACUUUUCACACCCAUCA
Raphanus sativus (radish) is the source of this 606-nucleotide long non-coding RNA. RefSeq lists it as uncharacterized. The record is from RefSeq and is a predicted model, not a curated record. The transcript has 3 exons. NCBI's taxonomy places the organism in Eukaryota, Viridiplantae, Streptophyta, Magnoliopsida, Brassicales, Brassicaceae.